RNAcentral lists this unclassified non-coding RNA (231 nucleotides) under uncultured Actinomycetes bacterium. RNAcentral describes it as "uncultured actinobacterium contains 16S-23S intergenic spacer region". It matches the Rfam family "Bacterial small subunit ribosomal RNA", at positions 970 to 1199 of the family's 1533-position model. Lineage: Bacteria; Bacillati; Actinomycetota; Actinomycetes. The record is from RNAcentral.
UCCCACUUACCUGGGUUUGACAUAUACCGGAAAGCUGCAGAGAUGUGGCCCCCCUUGUGGUCGGUAUACAGGUGGCGCGUGGCUGUCGUCAGCUCGUGUCGUGAGAUGUUGGGUUAAGUCCCGCAACGAGCGCAACCCCUAUCUUAUGUUGCCAGCACGUUAUGGUGGGGACUCAUAGGAGACUGCCGGUGUCAAACCGGAGGAAGGUGGGGAUGACGUAGACCUUGGACC